AUUUCGCUGAUCUAUUGUCCAGCGAGAU
Molecule: non-coding RNA, 28 nt
Filed under: Lactobacillus johnsonii NCC 533
Lineage: Bacteria; Bacillati; Bacillota; Bacilli; Lactobacillales; Lactobacillaceae
Also listed under: 1 other name
Source: RNAcentral